RNAcentral lists this microRNA precursor (75 nucleotides) under Belgica antarctica. RNAcentral describes it as "microRNA mir-11". It matches the Rfam family "mir-11 microRNA precursor family". Lineage: Eukaryota; Metazoa; Arthropoda; Insecta; Diptera; Chironomidae. The record is from RNAcentral.
UUUCCUAGCGGGAACCCAUUCUGUGACUGCCUUCAUACAACCAUCGGCAUCACAGUCUGAGUUCUUGCUCGGCGA